Molecule: long non-coding RNA, 1604 nt
Organism: Dermacentor silvarum
Lineage: Eukaryota; Metazoa; Arthropoda; Arachnida; Ixodida; Ixodidae
Exons: 3
Source: RefSeq, a predicted model, not a curated record
AGAAUACGUCCCCAUGCCCAUGCGUUGUAGUUCAUAUGCGCGCUGACGAUCUCACGAUGCCGCCGCCGCAGAAAAAUCUUGUCGUUGCAAGUUGUUCGGACAGUUCUGUUGUCGAAUUGGAAGACGGAGGGCCAUCGCCGGGACCUUCGCGUCUACUGAACCAAGCUGAACAGGCAGAAACCCUGAAAGCAGCAGCCUGCUGGCAGUGGACGUGUGCUGUUGGAAAGCGCCAGGCACCAGGCGCCGCCGCUCGAGGUGGGCUUUCGCGUUUGACCGAGGCCGAGAGGGCAGAAGCCCGGAAAGAAGCGGCACGUAAGCAUGCUCGUGAUUUUCGAAAGCGCCAAGCAGCAGACCCCGCAGCCACACAAGCUCGCAGAGAAGCGGACCGGGAACGGAAAAGAGUCGCGAGGAAAAGACUGUUAGAAUUGGGCGAUGGAGCCUUACAGCGCUUACAGGCCCUUAGAGAAGCGGAUCGGGAGCGCAAGAGGACCGCAAGGAAGCUCCAGGCGGAAGCAGUCGCACAAGCCCGAAGAGAAGCGGAUCGCGAACGCAAGAGAGCCGCGAGAAUACGCACAGCGGAAGAUGAUGGUGUGGUCGCGCAAGCCCGACGAGAAGCGGAUCGCGAACGCAAGAGAGCAGCGAGAAAACGCAGUGCGGAAGAUGGUGGUGUCGUCGCACAAGCCCGACGAGAAGCGAAUCGCGAACGCUUGAGGGCCGCGAGAAAACGCAGUGCGGAAGAUGGUGGUGUCGCACAUGCCAGUAGUAGAGAAGCGGACCGGGAACGGAAAAAAGCCGCUAUAAAACGGCAAGCAGAAGAGAACACCUAACGGCAGCAGUAGCAGCACAGAUUCGCGGUGGGAAGAGGCAUACUUGGGCAGCUGGUUCAAUAUCAGCAGCCAGUUUGGAGCCCCCUGCGACUUGUGCAAUCGCCCGUGCUACCAAGACAGUCUGUGGCCACCGCUCCCGAUGUAUGCGGAUUUGCUGGUGCAUCUGUUCCCUGGGAAGAACGCUAGUGCUCUCCACGUGUGUGCCUCGUGCCGGACGACCCUGCGAGAGAACGAGACGCCCGAUCUUUCUCAGACCCUCGGUGCGGUCUCUCCACUACGUGCUGAGAAUGAGCAGUCUAGCUCUAGGUGCGGACGCAAGUCACUUCCUGCCGGAUCCACUACAGCUGUGCAAGCGGACGCUUCUGUGCAGUGCAGUCGGAAAGCAGAUGUUGGUGUCAAGUCCACACAGGUGGAGCUGUUUUCAUCUACGGUCGCCAGGUCAGCGCACUGUGAAGAUCUGAUGGACUGUUGUGGUGCUCCUUUUCUUGUGGAACAGCCGCUGCCAGACAAAGGUCCAGCACCCUGCAUUUUGGAUGGAUGAUGAUUUAGCGCCCUGUGUAAAACUGUUUGGGCUUACGUCAAGAGGAACUGUUUGCAAGCGGAACCAUUGAAAUGGCCACUGCGAUAUAAAAUCUCAGGGAACGGAGGUGUGACCAGUCUGACAAGGUGCAUCAACAUGCUUCCAGCCCUAAGGAGGAAGCACAAACUGCCAUUACCUCAACCGUGUUAAUAUAAGACGGCAUUGCAGAAUAAACGCUGUUUUGUUCAAUACUGCUU